Molecule: long non-coding RNA, 4618 nt
Organism: Panicum hallii
Lineage: Eukaryota; Viridiplantae; Streptophyta; Magnoliopsida; Poales; Poaceae
Exons: 13
Source: RefSeq, a predicted model, not a curated record
UUCGAAAGGCGCGACGGCAUUUUCUUCCAGAAGGAUCCGAGCCACACGUCGGCUCCUCCCGUCUCCUCCGCCUCUGCGCGCGCCCCCGCCGUGGCUCGCCACCGUUCCGCCGGCGCCGGACACGACGCGAGCUCUCUUCCCUUCGAGCGCCUCCCAAUCUCCCCCACCCUGAUCCACGCCUCCCUUCGCUGUUCUGAUCUAUGUGUUCUUUUUGAUAGAUUGAGGUCUCGAAUUCGACUAAUUGGCGUUGUUGGGCCUAUCGGAUCGAAUUUCGCUGAUACAACAACAAGGAUUGUACGAUUCUUCUGCGUAUGGUGCGCGGGCGGAGGAUUUGACGGGUAAAAUCGGGAGAAGAGCUGUGAAUUGUGCGUUGCGCGUUUAGAAUUUGGCCUGCAUUAUUGCUGUGGAUUGUAUCGAAUCCUUCUGAUGUGGCCUCUCGUUUGAUCUUGGAAGGAUAAGGUGGAUUAGACUGACAGUAACAAUGCGGUCAGCUAGAAGUAAUUUCAGGCGAAUGACCAUAUUUUUUACUUUCCAAUCAACUUAUCUUUGACAUGGAUGGGAUGACAUAUCACCAACUAGGAGAAGAGGACAUGUUCCUUUCCUUCGAUUUUUGCCAACAAUGUAACUCGGAAAAUGUAGUUUGUAAGGGUGAUAUUUGUUAUGAAGGGCUGUCUGUUAUCAGUUACCAAAGGGAUCCGUGGUACACAGCUAUCAGUUUGUGUAAAUUGAUGGUGAUAAUAGAGGGCACACAAGAAUUUUACUAACGCCAUGACAGAGAUGGUUUCUAUCUCGAUCAUCUACCUUCUAUUCUUUUUCCUUUGGUGAGGCAUGAAUUCAUUUGGAUACUAUUGCUUUUGGGUGAACCUGUUGGAGGAAUCAUUCCACAAACGUGAAGAACUACAUGCAGUCCUGAGAUGAGAGGCUAGUUACAUGUGAAAUAACAGGCAGUGUUAUUUGCUAAUCAAGGAUCUACUCUCAUGCUACUUUCUGCACUGUCGUUAACUGAAAAUGCAAAGAACUCAACAUGAGUUCCUUGGGACGCGGGUUAGUGAUCAGUUGAUCAGCACAGCUCAAAUCUACGCUGUAACAACAGCUGGGUUACGCGUGUUACUUGGACCCCUACAAUCCUCCAAUGAUUGCUUCCAAAGUUGCAUUUACCAGUCAGAGUUCAGGUGACGCUGCUCCACUUUGAAGUACUGCUUCGAGGUUCAUUGCAUGUGCAACGCUACCGUGACCUGAGAGAGAUGGUGCUGAAGAAAGGAACCCCACCAGGUAGAAAAUUUCCUCAUCUGGAUCUUGCCGAAGACUUCCUUAGCAAAUCUUUGGAUUGAGCUCCUUGGGAUUAGAAGAUUCAACCAAGGGUGUGGAACUUCCCAGAGGCCUUGUGCCCUCAGCUUCACCUCGGAGGUGUGCACCCUGUCCAAGAACUCCAGUUACUAUGAAUGAUGAAGUCACAUGUCAACAUCUCGGUGCAAACGGAAAUAAUGAACUCACCUGUUCCAUGAUAUCUGCUUCGUCACUGUUGAAGUUCUUAGUUAGCUCGAGGCAGUAUAGAACCCUUCCAUCUGGCUGAAAACGGCUUGCUUGGACUGGGUCCUGUGGCUUGAAGGACGUCCUCCAGUUGUUGAGGAUGCCUGUCCUGUUUAUGAUGACAAAACCUUCAAUGUAGUCAAAGGUGUUCUCUGCCAUGAUCAGCAUCUCCUGGUCCUCGGUGAAGCUUGCAAAAUCCGAGCUCAAGGGCAAUCCUUGCCCUGGUGAUGAUCCCGAACUGACCGAGACCGCCGAGAGCAGCGUAGAAGAGAUCAGAGUUCUCCUCGGGAGAGCAGUUGAUUGACAUUGCUGACCUGCGGUCCGUGGCGGAACGCCUGGCCGCUGACCCCCGCAUUAGACAACGUGCCACCGACCGUGAGAUGGAGAUAGUCGGUCCAAGACUUGGGCGCCAGGCCGUGCUUGAGGGUCUCGUGGAGCACGUUGAUCCAGAGCUCCCCUCCUGGGGCGUCCACAAACGGAGACAUGCCGCCAUGGACUACCUGGAGCCUGUCACUGCCCCGGAGCGACUCCAUCCUGACGACGAUGCCCCCGGCAGCCUGGGACUGGCCCAUGAGCGAGUGCCCGUGGCCGCGCGCGGCGACGGUGAGGGGCGAGCGCUCGCCCAGGGAGAAGACGUGCCUCAAGGUCGUGGCGAUGUCGGACACGGAGCCGGGGUGGAGCACGGCGGCCGGCAGCAAGCUGCAGCGGUUGCCGAAGUCCCGCGCCAUGGCGGAGGUGUCGUGGAAGCUGAAAUGGCCGUCGAGGCGCAGCGCCCCGAGGGAGGAGAGCACGUCGGCGUCGGGCACGUGCAUGGUCACCCCGCCGAGCGCCAGCAGCAGCAGCAUCAGCUUGAAGCAGUGCUCCAGUGAUGGCUUCAUGGUGUCCGGCCGGCCGGCUGGCUCUUCAAUUUAUAAUUCAACAACCCAACCAAAAGGAUGGAAGUUUGGCAGGUUGGUAGGAAGCUUGGAAUUUGAAGGUGGAGAUGGAGAGGGCUUCUUGUAUAGUGGGAGAUCUUGAUGAUGAGGUGCAACAAGAGCAGGAGACGGACUGACGGAGGGAGGAGAGCGAGAGAGAGAGAGAGAGAGAGGGUGUAGGCGGUGGUGGUGGUUGUCCAUGCAGGGGAGGGGAGGGGUCUCUCUAUAUAGGAGUAGGAGGGGGAGCUGCGUGAGGCGUGAGUGGUGCGGUCAACUAAGUCAGUCCUGGGCGCUGGCUGUUUGGUAAAAACCGUAUGACGACUGUCUGCCUGCCGGCUUGGCUUUGUUGCUUGCAAAUUCGGGCACAGGCAUGCCCUAGUGCUCCUAUCUUGAGCAAGGGGGGAACAUAACAAGCUAAUGGCGAGGAGGAGAUCUCACAGAAAAGAAGGGGGCCGGAUCCUCUGUUCCAGCAUCCGUCGGCGCUCUCUCAGACAGUCACAUGGCUUGCAUGCGUCUGUCCCUGCCCAAACCCACAGGACAUCCGUAUGUUGGUCAUAUGCUGUUGGAUUGGAGCUCGGCUGGGCCUUUGCUGCUUCUCUGAAGAACCUCGCUGCCCUUCUCUAAUCUAAUGAAUGAUAAGCAAGGCAAAGCUCGCUGGAGUGGAUCUUUCGGUUAGCUCAAUCGUAUGGACAUGGAUUACUUGGGAUAUUUCUUUCUCUCCCUCUCUCGAUCUCCCCCUCUCUGCUGGUAGUGAGUGGUAAUUGCUUGAUAAUUCCAGAGGGCCAGGAGCUUUCAGAUGAUAAAUGUUUGGCAUAAUCACUUGCCCCACUUGACCCCAUUUCACUCAUCAUCCCGUGUUCCAGCCUUCCUUUCCCAUGUAGCAGUGCCCGCCAUCGUUGUUGAGCUGAGCUUGUUCGUCCGGGAAUUGAUGAGGAGAGCAGCCAGUAGCCGCUAGGGGCCCUCUCAAGUUCGUUUCCCGAAUCCAGUAGCAUCCGGGUGAUGGCAACAUGAGCACACAUGCGCAACCACCUUUGUGGUACGACUUGGACCGUCGCGUUUGCUGUUGCUGCCCGACCCGACCCCAGCGUAUGCGGAAGCCCAGCCCGGCUACGUACACGGCACAGCAAGCGAUCCGAUUCUCUUCUGUGUGGACGCCCCGGAGCCCAGCCGGAUCGACCACCCGACCCAGACCAGAAACGGACAAGAGCUAGCUGAUCAGAAAUCCAGAACGCUUGUGACUUGCAAGGGCGAACGAUCCCGCUGUUGGCGUCAGGAAUUUAAAGUGCAGGGGGGGGGCGAGAUGGACACCGGCGGACGGUAACGCAUCGGGACGCGACCAAGUGGAGUGGUGUGGUCCGGUCCGGCCGAGCACUAGCACCAAGCAAGCAAAGGGGUAGCAGAGCAGAGAGGCCGCCACUUUGACCGUCACCUGCACGUCCAUCCUGUCCGGCCGCAUGCCUGAUGUUGGAAAUUGUAUCAUCUAAACAAAAUUAGUUUCAUCGCUGGAUAAUCGGAUUUGUCACUGCAAUAUAUUUCUGAUUAAUUGUGAAUUAGAAAAAAGAGAUAAUAAGGUGUUGUUGUUCUGUUCCUGCGUGUGCCCUGACUGACGAAGCUGAUGUGUGAGCAAGACAAGCACUGUGACGCAGAGAGAGAUGCUCAUGCAUGUGCAUGGCAUGGGGGAGACCUGACCUGACGGACUUGGCCAGGAGAGGGAUCGGAUCGAUCGAAGGCGGCCGGAGAGCGAUCGCCGGUGCGGCCCGGCCUUGAGAUCGCGCGGAAGUGGACCUCGGGGACCCAUCCCCCACGUGGCCUUCUUGACAUUUUCCCCGGUAGCUUUCGGCCCGCGGGACCCAGCGCGCGGACGUGUCAAGCCCUGACAUGAGGAACAAACUCACAAGCUGUGGGGGCAUGGCCCACGAUUCUGUUUGGCUCUGGGGUCUCUGCUGCAAUCUCCUGACUCAUUUAUCAGCAUGCUCGAGGAUGGCAGGUAGACAAACUCAUGAGUUGCUAUAGUGGUACGUACAUUUGUACUGGCACUCGUGUCCUUGUAAUGCACGCCGAUCUUAAGGUUUGGAGAUACCCUCCCUCGGUCCCUCCACCAACAACAAACAAUGCAACUCUGAAAAUUCUAAGACACAUUAAAAGGAAUGAGCGCAAUUUAAUUGGGUCUCUGC